Molecule: ribosomal RNA, 121 nt
Filed under: Periophthalmus magnuspinnatus
Lineage: Eukaryota; Metazoa; Chordata; Actinopteri; Gobiiformes; Gobiidae
Source: RNAcentral
UUCUGCUAUAUUACAUGAGGAAAAGCCUGGUCUCAUCAGAUCUCUGAAGCUGAGUAGGGCGUGGCCUGGUUAGUACUUGGAUAAGAGACCGCUGGGAAUACCACAGAGGUCAUUGUUUCCU